This is a long non-coding RNA of Gasterosteus aculeatus aculeatus (three-spined stickleback), 1021 nucleotides long. The record is from Ensembl. Lineage: Eukaryota; Metazoa; Chordata; Actinopteri; Perciformes; Gasterosteidae.
UUCAAACAAAAGACUUUAAUAGUCAAAAUUCCAACUCAUUAUUCCAAGGGGGGCAAAAACACAGCCGGGAACUAGGAACACUCAGGCUUGAACAUUCAACAAUGACGCGACAAGUGACAAGAGACACACAUGGCUUAAAUACACCGGGAAGGUGCAGGUGAUUGGACACAGGUGGAAACAAUCAUGACACGACAGACAAUCACAGGGGAUGACAGGACAAGGCAGGAAGUGAAGUUAACCCAGGGGCACCAGAGGCAUGAAACUACAAAAAAAAAUGCCUGAACCCAAAUUGUGACAGAACCCCCCCCCCUCAUGGGCCAAAUUCCAGAUGGUGCUAAAGGGCAGGCGGAACCAGUAGAGAGCAGACAAGGGGCGGGAGGGAGGGGACCAGGAGACGAGGGUCGGGCCAUCCAGGGAACUCCGGCGGGCGGCCCGGCGAACGGCCAGUUGGCCGGGGAGCCUAUGGGGGUCGGCCCGGAGGUCGGUCAGUUUGCCGGAGUCGCCGGCUGCAGGACACGGGAAGCCGAGGGCGCCGGCUGCAGAACACGGGAAGCCGGAGGCGCCGGCUGCGGGACACGGGAAUCUGGGCACAGUGGCGCCGGGGGCAGGAGUCGUGGAGCUGGAUCAGGAGGUUGCUGCAGCCCAGCGCAGAAGGAGGUGCACUGCGGCCCAGCGGGGUCGGGAGGUCGCAGCGGCCCGCGCACGGAAGGUGGUGUGCUGCGGCCCAGUGUGGAGAGAGUAGGUGGCCUGGAGUUUGGCAGCGAGCUCCAUCACCCGCUCCCAGUGCGAUCUGACACGUAUAAAUACAAAUAUUUCACAUUGUUUCAUUAGCAUAUACAUCAGCAUUAGAAGCGAUUCAACCUGCUUCCUUACAACUGAAGGGCGUUGCACUCAGCGAUCUGUAUCCAAUGAAACGGUGAUGAUAUCUCGCUGCUUUGGCUGACUGGCCUCUGCUGCGUCCCUCCACUGAAAACCUCCAUCCUACUCUAACCACAUCCAUCCAGAUUAAAAGACCGCUGUU